UGGGGUAUAGCUCAGUGGUAGAGCUUGUGCUUGGCAUGCACGAGGUCCUGGGUUCAAUCCCCAGUACCUCCA
RNAcentral lists this transfer RNA (72 nucleotides) under Camelus bactrianus (Bactrian camel). It matches the Rfam family "tRNA". Rfam says of the family: Transfer RNA (tRNA) molecules are approximately 80 nucleotides in length. Their secondary structure includes four short double-helical elements and three loops (D, anti-codon, and T loops). RNAcentral also lists the same sequence under 2 other names. Lineage: Eukaryota; Metazoa; Chordata; Mammalia; Artiodactyla; Camelidae. The record is from Rfam by way of RNAcentral.